GGAACAUGGAGCUAAUGCUAAUUUAAUAUGUUCUGUCAGAAAACCCUCACCACCUGCAGCAUGCUGUGGUCCAGUUAUUAGAUCAUAUUGUCCACUUGUCAUGAUAACAGACAUGUUCAGCUCAACAAUGGACUUCUUAUGACAGCUAUAAAGAGGGCAGGACCGGGUCAGACCUCCAGUCAGACGUGGAAGUGUCUGGGAAAAGACCACCAAGGAGGAGUGUCCGGACCCCCUGGAGAUAAGGAGCAUUGAUUGUUUGACUCAGAGGAUGUGUGACACACCACCCAAACACAUUCUUCCACCUGCCCCUACUGUUAACUUCCCCACAGUCACCCCAAACACCAUUUUCAUCCCUGUUCCCACCACCACUUUACCACCAGCAGCAGCACAUGGCUCAUUCAUAGAGAUGCUGCAGAACUGGCAGCCGAUGGACGAUAUGCCAUACUUUAUGAGGGGGCUCCCAGUAAUCAUCAGAACCAGGUCGGGCCAACUGUGAUUUCUGCUCAGCCAUCUUACUGGUAUUUGUAUAGGUUAGGAAUGAGACUAAGGAUGGAGUUGUAUAGUUUUGUAGUGUGUAUCAUUUUUAAAUAUUGUUAACUUCUUUAUCAUAGCCUUGCUGAGGGUGGUGUUAAAUUAGUGACUAAAUUAGUGAUGGUGCUGGACCAACAAACCACUGAGAUCGCUUCAACUGCAGGAAGUCCAGGUGCAGCCUUUGGAUAUUGAUGAAGAAUUACUGCCCUUGCAAGACCUUCCUCAACUGUGUAGACUGGAGCAAAUGAUGCAAUAGAGCCCAGAUUACAAGCAAAAACUGGUGAGAAUUUUUUUUUUCUUUCUUUAACAAUUGCUUGCACAAUUACACAUAUACUGAGAGUGUUACUUUUUUUCUCAAAAUGAGACACUCAUACUCAAAGCACAACAUUCAACACCACUUUGAUAUGAGGGAACAGUUAUGACCUAAUCUUUAUCAGGAACCAAGCAACCAUAAAGUCAGAUUUUUAAUUUCAUUGCAUUAUUUACAACUUGAUAUUAUGGAGUCGAGUGUAAUGUAAAAUCAAAUGACAGCUUUAACUUUAAUUGCGGAAAGACCAUGGUAAAACUAGGAUAAGCCAUGGCUAGGUGUGCAUUAAACGAUUUGAACGAGUGGUUCUUUGCCUCCACAUCAUGCAUUAAAAUCGUUUAAUGCACACCUAGCCGUGGAUUACUCCUUACAUAUCAUCUGAGAGAGACAGAUAACUCUGUAUGUAAACAGAUAUACUUACCAAUUACGACCUCUGCGAGUUGGAGAGUGACCAGUGAAGUCUUUACAUUGACUCCCCUCCAAUGGAGGUUCUUUGCCAAUGAGUUGGCAAUCACCCUCUUCAAUAUGUGCCAGGUGCAGUCGCGCACAUGUGCCCCGUCAAUAAGCGCCAACCAGUUUACCUGAAACCGAUUUUUAAAAAACAAUAAUAUAAUAUAAAAAUUAAUAAGCAUGUAUUUCCUCAUCACCUAUGUCAGUGCUUCUCACUACGCCUGCAGUUACCCUGCCCUGUGUUUUCCAUGUUUUCCUCCUCUACCAAAGAUAAGGUUCCUUUAUACAAUGUCUUGGCCUCCCCUAGAUAGUUCUAAACACUAGUUUUAAUUUUCACCUUUGUACCCCUUAAAAUGGAUUAGUAGUUAAAAACUUUUUAUUCUUGUCUUACCUUGAGAUGAGCCUCCUAGGGAAGAGUCAACAUCUGUGAACGGAAAAAUAAAAUACUAUAACAAGCAGUAGUUGUGCUUGGUCUACAUGAAAUGAAUCAAACCUCAAUGGACAUGCUGGUAGACUGAGGUUGAUGCUCAUACCAUCUGGGGUGCCUAGAGGUUCCUCAACAGGUCGCCUAGCUCUGUUCAUUCCUGUGGUAUGAAUAGUAUAGCUCAAUAUAAAGUUUCUGGUGUCACAUGUUCAUACACAAACUGUUCUACACCUUUAAGGUGAAACUGUAAAUCUCUAGCAAGAUAUCCUCCACAUCCCAAACAAAAACAGUUAAAACUGAAAGGUCUAAUUUUGUUGGGUAGUGAUUUGGUUGAUGCUUUACUUUGUGAAAUUUGUUGUCAAGGUACAGUAUAAGUCAGCUUAUUUUUGUGGUAUGUCUAUGACAAGUGCAAUAAGCAGAUGAACCUCAGCCUAUUAACAGUCAAGAUACUUUAAAUUUACUUGGCACAUAUUGACCAUAUUACUAAGUUUAACAAUGACCAUAUUGCUUCAGUAACAGGUGUGUAUAUCUGAACUAUUGUAUAAUACUUUUGUACAUCAUAUGGUACACUCAUGUUGACUUUAAUGAAUUGAUGAUUGUAUGUUUGUGCUUUUACCCAUUUCUGUUGGUGUCUGUGGAUAUGUCUCCUCAUCAUCAGUGUCUUCACUUUGCUCAGAAUCAGUCAAGUCUAUGUUCUCUAACAAAAUAUAAACAUUUUGACCAUCGGAAAAGUUGAACAUUGCAAAUGUUAGAGUAAAAAAAAUUAACAAUAAUCAUGCUGAAAUUUGAUGAAUAUUAAAUAUUAUUGAAUAAUAAAAAUUUAAGGUUUGUAUGCAAGGGAUUAUCUUUAGGCUAGGA
Long non-coding RNA from Ictalurus punctatus (channel catfish), 2570 nucleotides. The record is from Ensembl. Lineage: Eukaryota; Metazoa; Chordata; Actinopteri; Siluriformes; Ictaluridae.